Molecule: ribosomal RNA, 602 nt
Filed under: uncultured bacterium
Lineage: Bacteria
Description: bacterial SSU rRNA
Rfam family: Bacterial small subunit ribosomal RNA
Source: RNAcentral
UUUCACGGAAGUUUUCGGAUGGAAGUGGUUACACUUAGUGGCGGACGGGUGAGUAACACGUGAGCAACCUGCCUUUCAGAGGGGGAUAACAGUUGGAAACGACUGCUAAUACCGCAUAACAUUACCGGGUCACAUGGCCUAGUAAUCAAAGGAGCAAUCCGCUGAAAGAUGGGCUCGCGUCCGAUUAGCCAGUUGGCGGGGUAAUGGCCCACCAAAGCGACGAUCGGUAGCCGGACUGAGAGGUUGAACGGCCACAUUGGGACUGAGACACGGCCCAGACUCCUACGGGAGGCAGCAGUGGGGGAUAUUGCACAAUGGGCGAAAGCCUGAUGCAGCGACGCCGCGUGAGGGAAGACGGUCUUCGGAUUGUAAACCUCUGUCUUAGGGGAAGAAAAUGACGGUACCCUAAGAGGAAGCUCCGGCUAACUACGUGCCAGCAGCCGCGGUAAUACGUAGGGAGCGAGCGUUGUCCGGAAUUACUGGGUGUAAAGGGAGCGUAGGCGGGAUGCCAAGUAGAAUGUUAAAUCCAUCGGCUCAACUGGUGGCAGCGUUCUAAACUGGCGUUCUUGAGUGAGGUAGAGGCAGGCGGAAUUCCUAGUGUA